UGUGACGUUACUGACAGAAGAAGCACCGGCUAACUCCGUGCCAGCAGCCGCGGUAAUACGGAGGGUGCGAGCGUUAAUCGGAAUUACUGGGCGUAAAGCGUACGCAGGCGGUUUGUUAAGCGAGAUGUGAAAGCCCCGGGCUCAACCUGGGAACUGCAUUUCGAACUGGCAAACUAGAGUGUGAUAGAGGGUGGUAGAAUUUCAGGUGUAGCGGUGAAAUGCGUAGAGAUCUGAAGGAAUACCGAUGGCGAAGGCAGCCACCUGGGUCAACACUGACGCUCAUGUACGAAAGCGUGGGGAGCAAACGGGAUUAGAUACCCCGGUAGUCCACGCCGUAAACGAUGUCUACUAGAAGCUCGGAGCCUCGGUUCUGUUUUUCAAAGCUAACGCAUUAAGUAGACCGCCUGGGGAGUACGGCCGCAAGGUUAAAACUCAAAUGAAUUGACGGGGGCCCGCACAAGCGGUGGAGCAUGUGGUUUAAUUCGAUGCAACGCGAAGAACCUUACCUACACUUGACAUACAGAGAACUUACCAGAGAUGGUUUGGUGCCUUCGGGAACUCUGAUACAGGUGCUGCAUGGCUGUCGUCAGCUCGUGUUGUGAGAUGUUGGGUUAAGUCCCGCAACGAGCGCAACCCCUAUCCUUAGUUGCUAGCAGGUAAUGCUGAGAACUCUAAGGAGACUGCCGGUGAUAAACCGGAGGAAGGUGGGGACGACGUCAAGUCAUCAUGGCCCUUACGUGUAGGGCUACACACGUGCUACAAUGGCGCAUACAGAGUGCUGCGAACUCGCGAGAGUAAGCGAAUCACUUAAAGUGCGUCGUAGUCCGGAUUGGAGUCUGC
Molecule: ribosomal RNA, 840 nt
Filed under: bacterium Antarctica-28
Lineage: Bacteria
Description: bacterial SSU rRNA
Rfam family: Bacterial small subunit ribosomal RNA
Source: RNAcentral